CUAUCAGCUUGAUGGCGGGGUAACGGCCCACCAUGGCUUCGACGGGUAGCCGGCCUGAGAGGGCGACCGGCCACAUUGGGACUGAGAUACGGCCCAGACUCCUACGGGAGGCAGCAGUGGGGAAUAUUGCACAAUGGGCGCAAGCCUGAUGCAGCGACGCCGCGUGAGGGAUGGAGGCCUUCGGGUUGUAAACCUCUUUUGUUAGGGAGCAAGGCACUUUGUGUUGAGUGUACCUUUCGAAUAAGCACCGGCUAACUACGUGCCAGCAGCCGCGGUAAUACGUAGGGUGCAAGCGUUAUCCGGAAUUAUUGGGCGUAAAGGGCUCGUAGGCGGUUCGUCGCGUCCGGUGUGAAAGUCCAUCGCUUAACGGUGGAUCCGCGCCGGGUACGGGCGGGCUUGAGUGCGGUAGGGGAGACUGGAAUUCCCGGUGUAACGGUGGAAUGUGUAGAUAUCGGGAAGAACACCAAUGGCGAAGGCAGGUCUCUGGGCCGUUACUGACGCUGAGGAGCGAAAGCGUGGGGAGCGAACAGGAUUAGAUACCCUGGUAGUCCACGCCGUAAACGGUGGAUGCUGGAUGUGGGGCCCGUUCCACGGGUUCCGUGUCGGAGCUAACGCGUUAAGCAUCCCGCCUGGGGAGUACGGCCGCAAGGCUAAAACUCAAAGAAAUUGACGGGGGCCCGCACAAGCGGCGGAGCAUGCGGAUUAAUUCGAUGCAACGCGAAGAACCUUACCUGGGCUUGACAUGUUCCCGACGAUCCCAGAGAUGGGGUUUCCCUUCGGGGCGGGUUCACAGGUGGUGCAUGGUCGUCGUCAGCUCGUGUCGUGAGAUGUUGGGUUAAGUCCCGCAACGAGCGCAACCCUCGCCCCGUGUUGCCAGCGGAUUAUGCCGGGAACUCACGGGGGACCGCCGGGGUUAACUCGGAGGAAGGUGGGGAUGACGUCAGAUCAUCAUGCCCCUUACGUCCAGGGCUUCACGCAUGCUACAAUGGCCGGUACAACGGGAUGCGACANNGCGANCUGGAGCGGAUCCCUGAAAACCGGUCUCAGUUCGGAUCGCAGUCUGCAACUCGACUGCGUGAAGGCGGAGUCGCUAGUAAUCGCGAAUCAGCAACGUCGCGGUGAAUGCGUUCCCGGGCCUUGUACACACCGCCCGUCAAGUCAUGAAAGUGGGCAGCACCCGAAGCCGGUGGCCUAACC
RNAcentral lists this ribosomal RNA (1197 nucleotides) under human gut metagenome. RNAcentral describes it as "bacterial SSU rRNA". It matches the Rfam family "Bacterial small subunit ribosomal RNA", at positions 238 to 1440 of the family's 1533-position model. The record is from RNAcentral.